Molecule: ribosomal RNA, 497 nt
Filed under: uncultured bacterium
Lineage: Bacteria
Description: partial 16S ribosomal RNA
Rfam family: Bacterial small subunit ribosomal RNA
Source: RNAcentral
GACGAACGCUGGCGGCGUGCCUAACACAUGCAAGUCGAGCGGACAGACCAGGAUCUUGCUCGUCUGACGUUAGCGGAGGACGGGUGAGUAACAUGUGUAUAACCUCCCUGAAAGACUGAUAAAAUUACGGGAAACCGGAGCUAAUACCGGAUAAUAUAUUGAACCGCAUGGUUCAAUAGUGAAAUACGGUUUUGCUGUAACUUCUAGCUGCAUCCCGGCCGUAUUAGCUAGUUGGUAAGGUAACGGCUUACCAAGGCAACGAUGCGUAGCCGACCUGAGAGGGGGAUCGGCCACACGGGAACUGAGACACGGUCCAGACUCCUACGGGAGGCAGCAGUAGGGAAUCGUCCGCAAUGGUCGAGAGCUUGACGGAGCAACGCCGCGUGAGUGAUGAAGGUCUUCGGAUCGGAAAACGCUGUUAUUAGUGAAGAACAAAUGUGUAAGUAGCUGUGCACGUAUUGACGGUACCUAAUCAAGAAGCCACGGCUAACUACGUG